UGGGGAAUAUUGCACAAUGGGCGCAAGCCUGAUGCAGCCAUGCCGCGUGUAUGAAGAAGGCCUUCGGGUUGUAAAGUACUUUCAGCGGGGAGGAAGGGAGUAAAGUUAAUACCUUUGCUCAUUGACGUUACCCGCAGAAGAAGCACCGGCUAACUCCGUGCCAGCAGCCGCGGUAAUACGGAGGGUGCAAGCGUUAAUAGGAAUUACUGGGCGUAAAGCGCACGCAGGCGGUUUGUUAAGUCAGAUGUGAAAUCCCCGGGCUCAACCUGGGAACUGCAUCUGAUACUGGCAAGCUUGAGUCUCGUAGAGGGGGGUAGAAUUCCAGGUGUAGCGGUGAAAUGCGUAGAGAUCUGGAGGAAUACCGGUGGCGAAGGCGGCCCCCUGGACGAAGACUGACGCUCAGGUGCGAAAGCGUGGGGAGCAAACAGG
RNAcentral lists this ribosomal RNA (429 nucleotides) under Chloroflexota bacterium. Its description in RNAcentral is "Chloroflexi bacterium partial 16S ribosomal RNA". It matches the Rfam family "Bacterial small subunit ribosomal RNA", at positions 355 to 776 of the family's 1533-position model. Lineage: Bacteria; Bacillati; Chloroflexota. The record is from RNAcentral.